Molecule: long non-coding RNA, 584 nt
Organism: Trematomus bernacchii (emerald rockcod)
Lineage: Eukaryota; Metazoa; Chordata; Actinopteri; Perciformes; Nototheniidae
Exons: 2
Source: RefSeq, a predicted model, not a curated record
CGUCAGCGCUGUUUUUUUACCGGACAUAUAAUUGUUAACUUCUGUGCCAUUGUUGGCUGCGGCAACAGAGGUGAUCGAAACAGGGGGCCGAAGUCAUUUUACAGGCUGCCGGCGGUUAUAACACACCAGGGUGAAGCAACACAUGAACUUUCAAAGCGUCGCCGGGAAAAAUGGCUCAAUAGGAUCGGACGGGAGGAUCUCAAACCAUCCAACCACAACUAUACUCGCGUUUGUGGGGAUCAUUUCACGUCAGGUAAAUCAGUGGCACUUUUUGACAAAAAUCAUCCUGACUGGGCACCGUCUGUCAAAUUGGGCCACGAGAAAAUUACAGCACCUUCCCCUGCUACACAUGCCAGGUAUAAACGCGCCAGAAAAAGGUCAUCCAUCGCACUACUUGAUCUCUACAGCAUGGUAUCUGAUAUACCAUCUCCAGAAGAGCCCGCACCAGUCCUGGGAGCCACUGGGGAAGAAGAAGGACUGAUUGAACCAGAGACUGGCACUGCAACUCAGACUGAUUUGACUGGUGAAAUGAUUGACAAAAUGUCAUUUGAAAUUAAUAAUGUAACAACAGAAAAUGUUAACUU